This 651-nucleotide ribosomal RNA is filed under the name uncultured bacterium. RNAcentral's name for it is "partial 16S ribosomal RNA". It matches the Rfam family "Bacterial small subunit ribosomal RNA", at positions 850 to 1501 of the family's 1533-position model. The record is from RNAcentral.
AGUAAACACAAUAAGCAUUCCGCCUGGGGAGUACGGCCGCAAGGUUGAAACUCAANNNAAUUGACGGGGGCCCGCACAAGCAGCGGAGCAUGUGGUUUAAUUCGAAGCAACGCGAAGAACCUUACCAGGUCUUGACAUCCAUUUAAAGCGGUAGAGAUACCGUGUCCCUUCGGGGGAAAUGAGACAGGUGGUGCAUGGUUGUCGUCAGCUCGUGUCGUGAGAUGUUGGGUUAAGUCCCGCAACGAGCGCAACCCUUAUUUUUAGUUACUAACGCGUUGUGGCNNNGACUCUAAAGAGACUGCCGGGGACAACUCGGAGGAAGGUGGGGACGACGUCAAAUCAUCAUGCCCCUUAUGACCUGGGCUACACANNNGCUACAAUGGCCACUACAAAGAGGAGCAAACCCGAGAGGGGGAGCGAAUCUCAUAAAAGUGGUCCCAGUUCAGAUUGUGGGCUGCAACCCGCCCACAUGAAGUCGGAGUUGCUAGUAAUCGCGGAUCAGCAUGCCGCGGUGAAUACGUUCCCGGGCCAUGUACACACCGCCCGUCACACCAUGGGAGUUGGGAGCACCCAAAGCCGNNNNNNNAACCGAGAGGAGCCAGCCGUCCAAGGUGAGACCAAUGACUGAAGUGAAGUCGUAACAAGGUAACC